AAACGAGCUUGAAGCAGCAGUCGGGUAGGAACACUCCGACUCACGAAGCUUACGACUCCACCUCGUCGAACCGGCCGGACUUGAUCCGCUCCCGGUUCUCGAGGGGCCAGUUGUAGACAUACAUCCACGCCUCGACGACGGUGCCAUCGGCCAGCGUCAUUUUCUGAAGCUUGCGCAGAUACUGGGUCGGCUCGGCAUCGUCCGGGCCGCAACCCUCGUAAGCGUCGAGCGCCGUCAGAAUCUCCGGAUCGCGCAGUUCGAAGACAUCUCCAUACGCCCACUCAUCCGGCUGGGUGGACGGAACG
This 305-nucleotide unclassified non-coding RNA is filed under the name Hevea brasiliensis (rubber tree). The record is from RNAcentral. Lineage: Eukaryota; Viridiplantae; Streptophyta; Magnoliopsida; Malpighiales; Euphorbiaceae.